GAUGAACGCUGGCGGCGUGCCUAAUACAUGCAAGUCGAGCGAACAGACGAGGAGCUUGCUCCUCUGACGUUAGCGGCGGACGGGGGAGUAACACGUGGAUAACCUACCUAUAAGACUGGGAUAACUUCGGGAAACCGGAGCUAAUACCGGAUAAUAUAUUGAACCGCAUGGUUCAAUAGUGAAAGACGGUUUUGCUGUCACUUAUAGAUGGAUCCGUGCCGCAUUAGCUAGUUGGUAAGGUAACGGCUUACUAAGGCAACGAUGAGUAGCCGACCUUGGAGGUAGAGCGCCCACACCGGAAGUGAGGCACGGCCCAGAAUCCUACGGGAGGCCGCAACAGGGAAUCUUGCGCAACGGGCGAAGGCCUGACGGAGCAACGCCGAGGGAGUGAUGAAGGUCUUCGGAUCGUAAAACUGUGUUAUUAGGGAAGAACAAAUGUGUAAGUAACUAUGCACGGCUUGACGGUACCUAAUCAGAAAGCAACGGCUAACUACGUG
RNAcentral lists this ribosomal RNA (497 nucleotides) under uncultured bacterium. Its description in RNAcentral is "partial 16S ribosomal RNA". It matches the Rfam family "Bacterial small subunit ribosomal RNA", at positions 28 to 507 of the family's 1533-position model. The record is from RNAcentral.